CCCGACUCGAGUGGCACACAUAAAACCCCCAAUAAAACAACUCUGCGCUUGAUUUUUGCAUCCAAAACGACCUGGAAUUGACUCCUUCGUAACUAAGUGACGAGCUGGUAGGACUGUUUCCUUUUUCCCAUCUCAAUGGAGUUAAUUGAUCACCCCGGAAGUGAUCAAUUAACUUUUACCCAGAGACUCCUGAUUUUCUGUCUCCUGUUUAGGAGGGGAAAAAAUGUGAUGGUUUUGUUAAUUAAAUCUUUUAUGAAGAAUAUAGUUUAGAAAUGGAUAGAAAACUAAAAUAAUGCUAUUUGGUAAUAGCAGAAUGGAUACUUAUGCGCAAAUACAGAUUGACGGCGUGGACAUUGAAAGGGUGAGCGAGCUAUUAUCUAUUGGGGAUAAUAGAUGAAAAAAUGAGCUGGAAAUCUCAUAUUAAAAAUAUACAACAAAGUGGCGAGAAAUACUUCAAUAUUGAAUAAAGCUAAAUUUGUCCUUGACCAAAAAUCACUCCAUACCCUUUACUGCUCUCUGGUUUUAGCAUAUCUAACUUAUUGUGUGGAGAUACGGGGUAAUCACUGUAAAAGUAUUCCAUAACAUGCGUACAGAGAAUAUACAAAUCCUCCGUUUCUAUUUUCCCUCUCAAAGUAUGGGUUAAGGAUCUCAUCCCAAGAGUGAAACCCCGGAAGUGAUGAAUAAACUCUAUUUGUUUUUUCCGAGGGAAAAAAAAAAUAAGGGGGGGGGGGGGAGCUCUGAUUUUCAGUUUAUUAAAUUGUUUUGUGGCUGUUUAAUUGUUAUAGUUUGUUCCACUUACCCCUGUCCCAAAUAUUCAUAAUACAGUCAAACCUGUCUUAGCGGCCACCUUUUAUAGAAGGGCCACCUGCCUAUAGCAGCCACUGAAAAAUCCCCCCCAGCAAAUAGACCCUGUGUAUAGCAGUCACCUUUCCAACGCAGCCAGCAGCCACCCAUUUUGUCUCCCUUGGUCAAUAUCUGACCUGCAUAUAGCAGCCAAAUUACCAACUCAAGUAGAAGCUUCAUGCACGAAAAAGUUUUGUUUUUCAAUCAAUGAAGGCGUCAUGUGUAGAUUUUAAUUACUGAGUCCUAGCUCAGUCACAAUCAUUCACAAGAUCCACACAAACUGUCAGUUGUUCCACAUAAAAAAGCCGUCUUCUUUUGAGCUUGCUAUUUCCUGGUCAAACAUGUAACUUUAAGAGAAUUUGCACCAAAACAUUACCGCAAAGUAGGCUGGGAACAGGACGUGCUCCCAGCGACGCUACAAUAAAAAAAAAAAAAAAACAUGCUAGCAUGCAUGCGGGAGCAAAACUGAGUUCGGUUGUACUUAAGUAUUUUAUCAGUUAUCAGUUAUUAUUAAGCCUCUAGCUUCCUUUUAGUAAGUAAAAACCUUGGCUAUGAUUGCACUACAUUGUCAUGUAGACCUACAAAGUACACUUGGAAGAACAAGAGGUGAAUAAAUGUAUUGCAACUGAUGUGAAACUGAUGAGGGGUAGGAUUAAAUAAGCUUUGCUUCUUCCUACUCCUUUUUGGACAUGCAAAAUUGUGAAUUGUACUAUAUGAUGUGCUACUUUUUGACUCAUGCAUGUUCAGGAUUAAAACCAUGAACCAUGAUAAUAACAAGCCUCGUAGUGCUGUACAACUUUUAUCAGCAGUCCGCAGUGCCAUAUAGUGGUCAACAUUAUUAUUAUUAUUUUUUUUUUCCCUUUUUUCCUCUACUGGUCAACAUUCAAACUGGACGCCAACCUGUUUAUAGAGGCCACCUGUCUAUAGCGGCCACUUUUGCAGACUCCCUCUAGUGGCCGCUGUAGACAAAUUUGACUGUAUAUCAUUUCAUUUAAACUCACUUAUUGGACAUCUGCUUCA
Long non-coding RNA from Dunckerocampus dactyliophorus (ringed pipefish), 1863 nucleotides. RefSeq lists it as uncharacterized. The transcript has 2 exons. Lineage: Eukaryota; Metazoa; Chordata; Actinopteri; Syngnathiformes; Syngnathidae. The record is from RefSeq and is a predicted model, not a curated record.